AUUCUUUUCAAGACCCAUUUCUUGUCCCUUUGUAGACUGUCCAGCAUUUGUCUAGAUUUUUUUUUUAUAAUAAAAAAACCCUAUGAACUUGGAUCUGUUGCCUGAAGAUUUUGUUUUCACACAUGAUAUCAUCUGCUUCUCCUCGUGAUGCUCGAUGUGCUUCCCCUGUUUCCACGUUAUUGGUUAGGUCCUAAUCUGAGUCAGACACAGCGUGGCAGAGAUUAAGAAGAUAUUCUUUCCAGAUUAGCAUUCCCAUUGCCUAAUUACUCUUCAAAAAAGGAGUUGUUUUUCAGGUUAUGUAGCCCAUAUUUAAUUGAUGGGAGUAGAAAGAAGAAUCUCAUUGGAAAAUUCAACAGGUAAGAAAUGCUACAUUUUGAGUGAAAGGGAGCUUUCAAUUACGGGGGCUAACAAUUCUCUCUACUGCUCCUGGAAACCCCACAGCCAGUCAAGUUUACGCUUCACCAUAAUUUUCAGAAGAAAAUCACCACCAUAAUCCAUGGCAGAAUCAAUACCGAGAUGCUAUCUCCAAAAACAAUAUAUGGGGCCUAUCUAAUGGUUAAAUUUACUGGUCGAGCUUAUGGAUUAGACACUCUACAAUCACAAAUAUCAGAAGAAGGUGGCAACUUCAAAUCACUUGGCAAGGUUUAUUUACGCCGGCGCCAAGACAAAAAAUAAACAAGCUUGUUUCUUGAGUAGGACCAGAACUUUAAGAUCAAAAAUUCAUGAAGUGGAAGGAUGUAAUUACCUUCAAGAACGUGAAGAUGAAUGUAUUGAGAUUGAACUGGGGAGUUUUUACAAUGAUGGGGGUGAUGCUAAGGAAGUGGAGAUGUGCCAAAGAGAGGUGCCUGGUGAGCAUUUGAAAGGUGAGCUUAUUGUUGAAGGAAUUGAGCUUAGGCCUAAGAAAAUGGUGAAGGUUUGAGCUUAAUUCUUGCCCAGAUUGUGAGUUGAUAACCUCAAAUUGUGUUUUGAUCAAAAUACUGUCCCAUAUAAUUGGCAGCAAAGAUAUAUAAAGCCAUAAUGGUGACAGUAAAGUUGAAGGCUAGAAAUUAUAAUUAUCAUGGGCAUGAAUUUCCAGAAAAUGUUGCCCAAAUGAUCUCUGAAGCACAGUACUGUUGAGUGUGUUCUCGACCACAGUGUUGAAAUUGCUCCAAAACAUUCUCAUUUGAGAACCCCAAGGAUUCUGGGGCAUGUUUUUGUGACAUUUUCCUUCAUGUUCUUCAGUCUGUUUGGAUUUUUUGUAUUUUGUCUUCUGAAUUCUGGAGCCCAAGGAAGCUCGGGCUACUUCAAAUUCUUCUUCUUCUUUUUUUG
This is a long non-coding RNA of Populus euphratica (Euphrates poplar), 1308 nucleotides long. RefSeq lists it as uncharacterized. The record is from RefSeq and is a predicted model, not a curated record. NCBI's taxonomy places the organism in Eukaryota, Viridiplantae, Streptophyta, Magnoliopsida, Malpighiales, Salicaceae. The transcript is spliced from 3 exons.